This 154-nucleotide ribosomal RNA is filed under the name Hypomyces rosellus. RNAcentral's name for it is "5.8S ribosomal RNA". It matches the Rfam family "5.8S ribosomal RNA". From Rfam's summary of the family: 5.8S ribosomal RNA (5.8S rRNA) is a component of the large subunit of the eukaryotic ribosome. It is transcribed by RNA polymerase I as part of the 45S precursor that also contains 18S and 28S rRNA. The record is from RNAcentral. Lineage: Eukaryota; Fungi; Ascomycota; Sordariomycetes; Hypocreales; Hypocreaceae.
ACUUUCAACAACGGAUCUCUUGGUUCUGGCAUCGAUGAAGAACGCAGCGAAAUGCGAUAAGUAAUGUGAAUUGCAGAUUCAGUGAAUCAUCGAAUCUUUGAACGCACAUUGCGCCCGCCAGUAUUCUGGCGGGCAUGCCUGUUCGAGCGUCAUU